Molecule: ribosomal RNA, 480 nt
Filed under: uncultured bacterium
Lineage: Bacteria
Description: partial 16S ribosomal RNA
Rfam family: Bacterial small subunit ribosomal RNA
Source: RNAcentral
GACGAACGCUGGCGGCGUGCUUAACACAUGCAAGUCGAACGAUGAAGAAAAGAAUCGAAGCUUCGGCAGAAAUUCAUUUCGGAUUAGUGGCAGACGGGUGAGUAACGCGUGAGCAACCUACCUCUUACAAAGGGAUAGCCUCGGGAAACCGGGAUUAAUACCAUAUAACAUUGUGACGAAGCAUUUCGAUGCAAUCAAAGCUACGGCGGUAAGAGAUGGGCUCGCGUCCCAUUAACCGGAUGGUGAGGUAACGGCUCACCAUAGUGACGAUGGGUAACCGGCUUGAGAGGGUGAACGGUCACACUGGAACUGAGACACGGUCCAGACUCCUACGGGAGGCAGCAGUGGGGAAUAUUGCACAAUGGAGGGAACUCUGAUGCAGCGACGCCGCGUGAGUGAUGAAGGAAUUCGUUUCGUAAAACUCUGUUCUAUGGGAAGAAAAGGACUGUACCAUAGGAGAAAGCUCCGGCUAAAUACGUG